RNAcentral lists this ribosomal RNA (254 nucleotides) under uncultured bacterium. RNAcentral describes it as "partial 16S ribosomal RNA". It matches the Rfam family "Bacterial small subunit ribosomal RNA", at positions 524 to 776 of the family's 1533-position model. The record is from RNAcentral.
UACGAAGGGUGCAAGCGUUACUCGGAAUUACUGGGCGUAAAGCGUGCGUAGGUGGUUCGUUAAGUCUGUCGUGAAAGCCCCGGGCUCAACCUGGGGAAUGGCGAUGGAUACUGGCGAGCUAGAGUGCGGUAGAGGAGAGUGGAAUUCCCGGUGUAGCAGUGAAAUGCGUAGAGAUCGGGAGGAACAUCAGUUGCGAAGGCGGCUCUCUGGACCAGCACUGACACUGAGGCACGAAAGCGUGGGGAGCAAACAGG